CACACAUAUCACAUGAUUAAGCUCCAUAUAUAUGAUUUGAAAAUGAAACUUGUUAGAAUGACGACAAUGACAAUGUAUAAAAUAGAAACACUUUUUGGAAAAAAAAAUAUACGUUCGGAAGUAGAAAUAUUACGUAAGAAUCGAAUUAAUUUUAUUUAUUUUAGUGGUUAAACACUGUCUGAGAAUCUUACCAUGUAUCAGAGUAAUCUCAAUGGUUUAAUCUCAAACUGAGUAUCAAAAUUAAAACCAAAAGUAUUUUUACCACAAAAAAACAAAAACAAAAAGUAUUAGUGUUUUAAUGGUGUUUUAUUAAGUAAUUAAUAUUUAAAUUUGAUAAAAGAUGAAACUCAUUUAAAAUUUGAAAAGUGUUAGAGAGGUUCUAAUGAGGAUUUUAAUUAGUCUUUUGUUUUUUUUUAUAAAUAAGAAAAGGUUGAAAAAGAAAUACUGAAGGCUGGAUAAGCCAACGGUUGAGAAAUGCUCAAACACGUGUCAUCAUCAUGUGAAGAGAAAGGUAAAACGCAGCAGAAGAUUCUCUCUCUUCCCAUAAUAGUUUCCCUUCUUGUGGAACCCUAGGACGAGGAAGAAAAAGUCAUGUCCCUUGAGAAGAAGCUUCUUGAAUAUGGGGAAAAGCUUGUUGAUCCACUACUUGCUGUCAAGCUUCUUGACGUGGGUUCAAGCUAUAUAUUCAUCUGCAUUUUUAUUCUGUUUUUGCAAAACAAAGUUUCUUUUUUUGAUAUUUAACUGAAUCUUUAUGGUCAUAGGUGGAACAAGAACUUUUUUGACUCCGCAGUAAAGAUCCUAACCACAAAGUCCACAACUCCUUCCACUCUCUAUCUUCCGGAGUCCACUCGGACCAGAUCAAUGAACCAGUAGAUGACAACAGUAGGUAGUUGUUGUUCUCGUUGGCAACUGUAACUGAACUUGUCAAGAUACACUACAGAGUCAACAAUAGACACAGAGCAAACAAUAAUGACAAAGUUCAGUUACAUUUUGCAAAGAGAACAACAACUACCUACUAUGCUAUUUUGAGAUUUGUCUUCCACGUACUGGUUCGUUGAUCUGGCCGGACUGGACUCCGGCAGAUACAUAAUGGAAGAAGUUGUGGUUAUUUGUACUAUAAAUAUCCAAAUGAAAGUGUUUGAGUUUGAUGUUUCCAUAAAGACUCUUCAAGCAUUCAGAUGUCGAUGUGAAAGUUUCUAUCACUUCCUGCAUUGUUGAGUUUAUGAGAAUAACUGCUUCAUAUAUGCUCCAUAUGAUGAUGAAAAAAAUUAGGGGAUGACCAUUCAAUCCAAGUAUCUUUAGAUAUCGAGAACAUUAUGUCCCUUGUGUUACAAGAAAGCGAUGAUAUACCUCCAGAGUUUCUUUCACCAAUUCUACAUUAUGUUAGAAAGGAUGCUGAGGUUCCUCGAAUGCUGCAGCCUUGAUAGCGAGAUGGAGAAGACAGCUUCAGAAGGAGAACCCUUUUACCCCACUCACAAGUCCAGUCCCUGAGCAAGGUGACUUGUCUGUGACACAUCAGUUGGCUAAGUUGAGACACAGAAUUGUAGAGACUUUAACCAGUGUAAGACCGUUUCGCUCUGAGCUCGAUUAAAAGGAACAGUACAUUUUGACCAGUUUGCGAACAGUUUCGGUCUGAGAUAAAUAAGAAGGCAGAUAAUUUAGAGGCUUCGCUCCAUGAAUUUGAAGUCUUAGGUAUGUGAUCUGGUUUCUGAUGAACUUGUCUUUUUUUUUUAUUUUGUCGUUUGUUUUGGUUCAAGGUCUCUGACAAUAUGAUACUGGGACAUGAGAGAUGAUAUAUGGAACUCAUGAUCAAGUUUAGACUGGAACUGCAGAUCAACAAAAUGGACCCAAGUAAAGUACUAAGUUGACCAGAAUCAGCAAUCUCAUUUUUUUUUGUAUCCUGAACUUGUUAAGUAGAAAAAUGUAUUUUGGAUAAGCACCGAUGCAGCCAUUAAUCUGCUAAUAGAACCAAACGUUCCAACUCGCAAUGCAUGCUAAUAGAACUAAGUACAGUGGCGGAUUUAGGAAUAGUUUUCACCCGGAGUAAAACUGUAAAACACUAGUAAUAUAGUUACAAAUUCAAAUUUUCAUCAAGGACAUUGCUAAAAAUUAUAUACAAAAUUAGCAACAAAAAAAAAAUCAUGGGAAGCAACUACCCCUCCCACUCCUCACCUAGCUCCGCCCCUGACAAAGUAGACCAAAUAUUUAUACAACUGAACCAAACAAAGGCACCAAGAAGAUAUACAACAAAAAGAUAAAUAAACCAAACAAGAAAAAUCUCCAAGAAAAAAUAUCUAGAAAAGACAGCAUACACAGCUCAAGGCUCAUUUAAAGGGUUUCGUUUUCAUAAUUAAUGCAUUCGGAUCAUGCUUAAUUAUUUCUCUAUUGAAAACUUUAGACUACCGUUACACCUUUAUAGCCCCAACAAUAUAAGAAAUCUGUUCAAAUAAAUGAAAAACUUUAAUCGAAAAAAUGAAUAGUGAAUGAUUGUAUCCACUAAUUAGAAUCCCACUAUAUAAAAGAAGCUAUUUUUAAGCUUCCUAAGGCUAUCCACAUGGUCAAAAUAAUUAGGACUAAUCAAAAUGCCAUGUCAUUGUGGACUAGGUUUGGAUACAAAAAUUAAGUUAACCUUUGCAGCCCAUUUAAACCAUUUCGCAGCCCAACCUAAAAUCUAAUUCUCAAAAAUCUAAAAUCACUCAUCCUCCCCCUAACCUAAACGCCGUCUCAUAAUGGUUUCCAGAAGCUGAUAAGAUCAAAGAUUCAACUAGACAAAGCAAGCAGCUUGAGGAACCAAAAGUUAUGGAUUGGCGUUGUUUUAUCGGCUUUUUCAGUUCAAAUUUAUUUUGUGAAGAAGAGUAUUUGUUGCUUGGGUCAUCUUCUUGCAUUUUCAUGCGAUUGAGUUUGUAAGUCUCAGAAGCAUCUUUACGGUUUGUUUUCUGAUGGAAUGUACUGUUUCAUAAUUGCAAUGUCUUUAUAUAUGGAUGAGAUGAGAUGUGACCAAAUAAAUUUCGAAACAUGAUUCAAUUAUCUCCAUAUUUAUUAUGUGUGAUUCAUGCCAGAUUGGUUAAAGACAUUGACUGUGAAGCUCUCCUGAAUUUUAAGUAAGCAAUUAAAUGACUAUAAACAAUUUGUGGUCUGAUUUAUUAUAUGCUAAAUUUUAUACAUAUGAACUUAGUAAAUAGUUCUUUUUUUUUGCCACUGAGGGGACAUAGGCAACAUGGGAGCAGAAAUAAAUGUUACCCUCAUCUCAGAGGCUAGGGGUUCCUCAACGAUUCUUUGGUGUGGUAAGAUACUUUUCUUUAAAAGUUACCUGGAGUCACUGUAGUUGGAAUCACAUUAUUAUUUCCUAAAGUUAGAUGCUUAUAUCGUCAUUACAUAUGUUUCUUUUAAAUUGAUAACCUCUUACUUUUCAUCCCUAAAGCUUAGAAUCUGGGCCUUUAGAGGAUAUUCAGAAUCGGAUACAUGAUGCGCUGGAGGAAUUUGCAAUAACAGGUAAUUGCCACAUUAGAACUUAUUUUUAAGCAUCUGACACUAUUUUGGUGGCGUAUAUAAGUUAAAAGAUAGUGAAUUAUUUUCCAACAUUUGUAGCCAAUAAUGACUUAGAUCUCAUACAAGAAAGGAAAUGCCAACUUGGACUUUUCAGGUGGCUCUUAUAUCUAUGUCUCUCGAAAGACAUGUCUCUUAGCUGGAACAGAGGAUGUGCACUUAGGUUAUAAAUUAUAGGACUGGGCCGAGGGAUAGGCUGCAACGUUGGGUUUGGAGGAUUGCAAGGAGAAUGUUGACAGAGAUGGUGGCGGUGACAUAAGUUGAAAUGGCGGUAAAGAGAAGAAACAUGUGGUGUUGGACUCCAACAAAAGUUAACUAUUUUAGGAUAUUUUUUAACCAGUAUUCGACUUCUGAGCAGCCACUGAUCGAUAUGUGUAAAAGCGAAAUCGUAGAUCUGUGUAUGUGAAAGAGAAAAAAAUAAGCAGUUGAAGAAUCAGGUGGAAAAAUAAGGGAUACUUUUAUGCAACGAUUGUUAUUUUCAGAUCAGGUUUCUCUAUUUGUAGCAGAGAAUAUAAAGAUAAAUAAGUUUUGAAAUAGUGGCCAUUUUUAGUGUAGAGAAACAAACAUUCGUUGU
Molecule: long non-coding RNA, 4120 nt
Organism: Brassica napus (rape)
Lineage: Eukaryota; Viridiplantae; Streptophyta; Magnoliopsida; Brassicales; Brassicaceae
Exons: 3
Source: RefSeq, a predicted model, not a curated record